UGAGCAGCUCCCCAGGAAGCUCGGCUUGGGUCCGGUUCUCGCCUUUACUUUAGGGACAGCUGCAGGAAGGAGGGGAACGGGGUGUUCUCUCUGCAGCCCUUUUCCCUCACUCCCACCCCGGUCCCCAGGGUCCCUGGCUUGCCGCCUUGUGAAGGGUGCACCAGGGAAGCCUCGGGCCUCUCGCCCAUGCAGCCCGGCCUCUCGCGAGAUCUAGUUAGGCCGCUCCUCGCCGCGCCUCCUGGCAAGGUGUCUCCAGGCCUUCCAUGGCCUCCCCGCUCCCCACUUCCCGCCCGACCCCAGGUGGACUGUUCGAAACCACAGGACCCUCUGUAUCUCCAGGACUUUGUUACGGGGGAAGGAGCGAGUGUCUGCAGGUGUCCGUGACAGGCGAGGGGGCCCGCAGCGGCGGCGUGGAGCCUACAGCUCAGGGGGGAAGGAUGAAGCUGACUGGCCGAGCAUCCUGCUUGCUGACGCACCGGUGGAUUUUUGCUUCUGGCCAUUAUUCCGGCUCCUGGACUCAAGUCCAACAAGAAGCCUCUCAUCAACAGCAGUCCUGCUGCCCAGCAGACCUCUUCCAGAGCCUUCCGGAUAUGGUUAACCCCUGUCAAGCAAGGGGCUUUUUGAGCUCAGAGGCAGAGGCACUCAGCUGGGACAUCAGGAAUUCAUGGGCAUGGCUGGCAGCUGCUGCGUGCAUUUGAGCUGUAGACAGAGGUGUUGAGAACACAGAGAGCUGAAAUGUAGACUCAUUAAAGUUACUAUGGAGAACUGCUCAAAAAUUUAUUUGAUAGCCUUUCCUUAGGUCUAAGUGCAACUGCAUAUUAUGCUAAAGUAUGUUCUUUCCUUUCUCACACGAGGGGGUUCCCUUGUAGGUCCAAGAGCAUGUUGUCUAUCUUCAUCUAUGAAGUAGUCACUUUAUCACUGUCUUUAGAGAUUGCACAAUCUGGGGUUGUGUGAUUUCCCAUGUCUCACUCUCUAGAAGGAAGUUGUCAUUUGAGUUUUUAAGAUUUAUCAUAUGUUCCCCACUCCAUACCCCUUGUGCUCCAGCUUCUCAUUUAAAGAAAGAAACAGUUAUAUAGUCCUCAUUCUUUCUGAAUAGCUGAAUUAUAAAUUAUUGAAAUAAGAUGGCUACACUUAUCUUACUUGUUAUUUGGGAAAAAUCUCUCUCUUACCCUCAAAUAAAUGUUUUUUAUAUGGUCAUAUGUUCCUUUUCUUAAAAGCAAAACAAAACAAAAAACUUUCAACAUAUUUCUCCAAGUAGGUUGAAGAAACCAUGUAUUUGAGGCUCCAGAGUAGACUUGGGCCCCAAAUCUGUGGUAUCUAUUCCUUUGAAAAGUCUGUCUUGAUUGUUCUACAUUGAUUUUUAUUUCUAGCUUAAAAAUAAACAAGGAGAAAGAUUAACUUAAUAGUUUUUAUUUAUAACAUUGUGUUCAAUUUCCAUGUUUUAAAAAGAAAGAAAAUUGAGGCAGUAUAUGUCAAACUUAAGUUGGAAAACUUUCAUUUUAAAAUACUGGCCAAGAAAAAAUACUGUUCUAGGAGCUUGUCUAGGCAACAAAUUAUGUGGCCUUCAAUAAGUGAUUUAACAUUCAGGGCUUCAGUUUAUUCUGACAAAUGUAAUGGUUGGACUAGAAAAUUGUUAAUGUCUCUUUCCAUUUCAAAAUUCUAUAAUUCUAGGAUGAAAACUACAUCUUUGAAAACAGAAUUCCCAGGAACAAACUCUUUAACAGUUUACCAGUAGUCCACUUUUCUGCUCUCCCCAAAUGACACUGUAUAAUGAAAACUCAACUUCAAAGUCUUUUUGGGUACCAACCACCACAUUGUGAGGAGAAAAUGAAAAUAUUUAUUUACCCCAAACAUAUAUCAGUGAUCAUUUGUCUAAGCUGCUUAGGGAAUAUUAACAAGUACAAUACUACAUGGUGGUAUAUAACAAAAAGGAGUAAUCUGACAGAUACACUAAUGCAAGAAGCAUGGCUCUGAACAUUAAUACAUUCAGGGAUGAUCUUCUGUUUUCUGUGGAGUCCGUGACGUAACAUUUCCCACUGAAACAUUCCUCUUAACUCUUUGGUAUAACUUGUGUUUCAAACUAAAAUUUUGUACUUCAGGUCAAGAGAGCAGCUCUAUGUCCUUACCUAGGUAAUUAGGGCAAGUGUCAGUAUUUUGGAGGGAUCCAAGUUACACAGUUAAUUAUGGUGGUGUAGAUCUUUGUGGUAUAGU
Orcinus orca (killer whale) is the source of this 2211-nucleotide long non-coding RNA. RefSeq lists it as uncharacterized. The transcript has 3 exons. The record is from RefSeq and is a predicted model, not a curated record. NCBI's taxonomy places the organism in Eukaryota, Metazoa, Chordata, Mammalia, Artiodactyla, Delphinidae.